Long non-coding RNA from Neopsephotus bourkii (Bourke's parrot), 354 nucleotides. RefSeq lists it as uncharacterized. The record is from RefSeq and is a predicted model, not a curated record. The transcript is spliced from 2 exons. Lineage: Eukaryota; Metazoa; Chordata; Aves; Psittaciformes; Psittacidae.
CUUCACUGUGAACACGGGCAGGACUGCUGAUAAGACACCCCAAAGGUCUGUCUUCUCCAGGCUAAUCAAGCCACCUACCCAAGAAAGUCCUAACAGGGCAAGCAUUCCAGUCCUGGACCUCCUCAGUGGCAAAUGAAUGUAUCAGGAUAUUUCUUAUGCUGAUUUUCAGUGAUUUCAGUGAUACUUGUUGGCCUGAGGAAUAAAAGAUGAAGACAGAGCCAUGCCUAACAUGGGCUGAGGUUAUCCUUCUGCAUGCAGCCUGGGCCAAGGCCCUGCAGAGAAUAAGAGGCUCUCAAAUCUGCAUCACAAGUGGCAGCCCCUCUCAGGGCAAUAAAUGGCAAAGCUACCACAUUC